AGCAUAUCAAUAAGCGGAGGAAAAGAAACUAACAAGGAUUCCCCUAGUAACGGCGAGUGAAGCGGGAAGAGCUCAAAUUUAAAAUCUGGCAGUGUAUGCUGUCCGAGUUGUAGUCUAGAGAAGCAUCAUCCGUGCUGGACCAUGUACAAGUCUCUUGGAACAGAGCGUCAUAGAGGGUGAGAAUCCCGUCCUUGACAUGGACUCCCAGUACUUUGUGUUGUGCUCUCAACGAGUCGAGUUGUUUGGGAAUGCAGCUCAAAAUGGGUGGUAAAUUCCAUCUAAAGCUAAAUAUUGGCGAGAGACCGAUAGCGAACAAGUACCGUGAGGGAAAGAUGAAAAGCACUUUGGAGAGAGAGUUAAACAGUACGUGAAAUUGUUGAAAUGGAAACGCUUGAAGUCAGUCCGUUCUCUGGGAUUCAGCCUUGCUUCUGCUUGGUGCAUUUCCUAGUCUACGGGCCAGCAUGAAUUUUGACCGGUGGAAAAAGAUUUGGGGAAUGUGGCACUUCGGGUGUGUUAUAGCCCCUUGUCACAUACAUCGGUUGGGAUUGAGGUCUUAGUGCACGCUUCGGUUCUGCUUUGAUGCUGGCGUAAUGGCUUUAAACGACCCGUCUUGAAACACGGACCAAGGAGUCUAACAUGUCUGCGAGUGUUUGGGUGCAAAACCCGAGCGCGUAAUGAAAGUGAUAGUUGGGAACCUCUUUAGAGGGGCACCGACGCCCGGACCAGACCUUCUGUGACGGAUCCGAGGUAGAGCAUAUAUGUUGGGACCCGAAAGAUGGUGAACUAUGCCUGCAUAGGGUGAAGCCAGAGGAAACUCUGGUGGAGGCUCGUAGCGAUUCUGACGUGCAAAUCGAUCGUCAAAUGUGGGUAUAGGGGCGAAAGACUAAUCGAACCAU
RNAcentral lists this ribosomal RNA (896 nucleotides) under Thanatephorus cucumeris. RNAcentral describes it as "eukaryotic LSU rRNA". It matches the Rfam family "Eukaryotic large subunit ribosomal RNA", at positions 37 to 943 of the family's 3401-position model. Lineage: Eukaryota; Fungi; Basidiomycota; Agaricomycetes; Cantharellales; Ceratobasidiaceae. The record is from RNAcentral.